GCUGCUGCUGCUGCUGCUGCUGCUGCUGCUGAUGCUGCUGAUGCUGCUGCUGCUGAUGCUGCUGCUGCUGAUGCUGCUGC
RNAcentral lists this small RNA (80 nucleotides) under Drosophila guanche. Lineage: Eukaryota; Metazoa; Arthropoda; Insecta; Diptera; Drosophilidae. The record is from RNAcentral.